Molecule: ribosomal RNA, 162 nt
Filed under: uncultured bacterium
Lineage: Bacteria
Description: partial 16S ribosomal RNA
Rfam family: Bacterial small subunit ribosomal RNA
Source: RNAcentral
AACGCCGCGUGAGUGAAGAAGGUCUUAGGAUUGUAAAGCUCUGUCCUUAGGGAAGAACCGUGGGUAUAGCAAAUGAUACCCACCUGACGGUACCUUUGGAGGAAGCACUGGCUAACUACGUGCCAGCAACUGCGGUGACUGAGCGGGCUGGCAAGGCGCAUA